AUUGGNGNGUACGGGCANNUUGGANNCCUGCUUGGGCAGCGACGACGUGCCAUNNCCNCCUUUUCAGUUGUUGGUCCAAGUGCGUGCUAGUCUUGGCCGGUCUUGGUUUCCUGCGUUGCAUACCUAUUGCGAGGGCAUUCUGUCGGCUGAAAACGUCCCCUUUUCACCUUGCGUCGUGCCUCUAUGGCCACGGUGCGGGGUGAACCUCGAAGCACCCAUCGUGUUCCACUUCCCUUGCGUCAACGCACGUUCGGGUUGUCGGACCACGGUGUCGUGCUCGAUCUCUCGGAUGCGGAAAAUCCAGUGGCCAUGAGGCCCCCGGUCUCUAUUUGUCCCGAAACUAAGCGUUCGCGCUUCGUGCGAGCGACGUCCGUUGCCGUUUUAAUCGAGUCCUUGCGGCUUGGUUCAUGCGGUGCCGGCGUCGGNGAGGAAUG
RNAcentral lists this unclassified non-coding RNA (434 nucleotides) under Lamiodendron magnificum. RNAcentral describes it as "partial contains external transcribed spacer and 18S ribosomal RNA; ETS". Lineage: Eukaryota; Viridiplantae; Streptophyta; Magnoliopsida; Lamiales; Bignoniaceae. The record is from RNAcentral.